GUCUGAAUUUAUAGUUGAGAUUACUGCUUUCAUUCAUCUGGAAAGGUAGCACUGGUUGUUUACCGCUAAAGUGCGUUUAACACUCAGGACAGAUACCAAGAGACUAAGUUGGAAGCACAGCUGUGGGACAGUUAUUUUGCGGGAUAUGAAUUGAUGGUCUGAAAUUUUAGGUCACCAAUGAUGUAAUGGAUCAAACCUAGAUAUAUCUUACAACUCAGGGAGGCAAUCAAAUGCCUUUUGUCCCGUCUUUCUCAGGAUCCAUAAGCUUAUUAAAGUACAGAGCGCUAACCAAUACAACCUGUUCCUGUUUUGUGAGAGUAUAAACUUGUCUAAGCUCUGUCCUGUGUAAGUAGGAAAAAGAGGAGCUAGAGAGAUGUGUUGGGUUUUUAGAAACAGAAACAAUUACUUAUUUUAAAUGCUCUGAUAUUCUGCCUCUUUUUUUUUUUUUUUUUUGUCAAAAUGUUUUCUAAAAUUUCUUGUGUUAAAAAUUUUCAGGUAUGUGAGUAAACGGACCGAAGAUGAAUAAUCAAGAGCAGCAUCAUCCUGCUCCAAUGAGCACUGCCUCUCAUUCGGAAAGAGGCGAUGUCAACAACCGAGAGGCACAUGCCUCAAUGUUGUGUCGAACGUUGCUAAGUAUUGGGUCUUGACGAAUCUUUUCCCCAAUCCCAUGGCACAGAUCCCGAUGUCAGGAAACCUGGCCCCUCUAGCCCUUUCGAGCACAACCAUAACAGCAAGUGGAGACUCGGGGACCAGUGAUAGUCACACAACAACAACCCAGAGUAUGAAAGGCAUAAAAGUCUUAAGUAAAUCGGGUUCAAAUUCAUCUCAGCAGAUUGAAAAUUCAGUUCAUUGCCAGCCGACGGUCCAUGAAAUCCCACAAAUGGAUGGUGCCCACGAGCAUCAGCUUAUCAGCGGCCUUACUCCUCAACAGCAUCACCAAUUAGUGCAACAGGUAUAGACAUUUUGAAACCAAUUGCAUAUAUUCUGCUGAUUUUUUCCAGCAUGUUGAAGUCUUUCCUUUCAUGUAAUGUAAAUGAGCAUGAACCAUUUCCAUCUCACUUUAU
RNAcentral lists this long non-coding RNA (1064 nucleotides) under Bemisia tabaci. RNAcentral describes it as "lncRNA ENSSSA1NGG012410". Lineage: Eukaryota; Metazoa; Arthropoda; Insecta; Hemiptera; Aleyrodidae. The record is from RNAcentral.